Molecule: non-coding RNA, 73 nt
Organism: Potamilus streckersoni
Lineage: Eukaryota; Metazoa; Mollusca; Bivalvia; Unionida; Unionidae
Source: the annotation of a GenBank genome assembly
GCUCCGGUGGCCUAGUGGUUAUAGCGUCCUCCUUAAAUGCGGGAGGUCGUGAGUUCGAUUCCCAGUCGAGUCA